UUUCUUAGAUAAUUCUGGGAAGUACUUUCUAGAACACUAAAUUUACUGUUCCAGAAAGAACUUUCCCAAAUUAUGUAAAAUA
RNAcentral lists this microRNA precursor (82 nucleotides) under Cajanus cajan (pigeon pea). RNAcentral's name for it is "miRNA gene-KK1_043098". Lineage: Eukaryota; Viridiplantae; Streptophyta; Magnoliopsida; Fabales; Fabaceae. The record is from RNAcentral.